GUCGAACGGUAACGCGGGGCAACCUGGCGACGAGUGGCGAACGGGUGAGUAAUGCAUCGGAACGUACCCAGUAGUGGGGGAUAGCCCGGCGAAAGCCGGAUUAAUACCGCAUACGACCUACGGGUGAAAGGGGGGGAUCGCAAGACCUCUCGCUAUUGGAGCGGCCGAUGUCAGAUUAGGUAGUUGGUGGGGUAAAGGCCUACCAAGCCGACGAUCUGUAGCUGGUCUGAGAGGACGACCAGCCACACUGGGACUGAGACACGGCCCAGACUCCUACGGGAGGCAGCAGUGGGGAAUUUUGGACAAUGGGCGCAAGCCUGAUCCAGCCAUGCCGCGUGCGGGAAGAAGGCCUUCGGGUUGUAAACCGCUUUUGUCAGGGAAGAAAUCUUCUGGGUUAAUACCUCGGGAGGAUGACGGUACCUGAAGAAUAAGCACCGGCUAACUACGUGCCAGCAGCCGCGGUAAUACGUAGGGUGCAAGCGUUAAUCGGAAUUACUGGGCGUAAAGCGUGCGCAGGCGGUUAUGCAAGACAGAUGUGAAAUCCCCGGGCUCAACCUGGGAACUGCAUUUGUGACUGCAUAGCUGGAGUGCGGCAGAGGGGGAUGGAAUUCCGCGUGUAGCAGUGAAAUGCGUAGAUAUGCGGAGGAACACCGAUGGCGAAGGCAAUCCCCUGGGCCUGCACUGACGCUCAUGCACGAAA
This 700-nucleotide ribosomal RNA is filed under the name uncultured Burkholderiales bacterium. RNAcentral describes it as "bacterial SSU rRNA". It matches the Rfam family "Bacterial small subunit ribosomal RNA", at positions 61 to 758 of the family's 1533-position model. Lineage: Bacteria; Pseudomonadati; Pseudomonadota; Betaproteobacteria; Burkholderiales. The record is from RNAcentral.